Molecule: small RNA, 482 nt
Filed under: Pan troglodytes (chimpanzee)
Lineage: Eukaryota; Metazoa; Chordata; Mammalia; Primates; Hominidae
Description: retained intron
Source: RNAcentral
GAUUGGAAGGCUGCCGGCGUGCUACUGAGUUCGGCCGGUCCGAGUCACUGUGCGUCGCCUGGGCCCGUUCCUGGUCUUCUCCCCCAGGGUCUUGCUCUGUCACCCAGGCUGGAGUGCCAUGGCAUCAUCAUAGCUCACUAUGGCCUUGAUCCUCCUGCCUUAGCCUCCCAAGCAGCUGGUAUUACAGACCACAGUGUGAACACAUGAAUAGAAGACGAAAAUUUCUUCUAGCCUCAGUACUUGCUCUCCAGAAUUCAAGUUUUAUAUAUCCAUCAUGUCAGAAGUGCUUCUCUAGGAUAAUCCUGGUCUCCAAAAGGUCUGAUUGUCCAAAAUGUGGCUCUACUGGUGAAUCUGGAAAUGCCAAUUACAGAUACAAACUUUCCUUAAAAGUUGCAGAAUCAAACAAAUUGUUUGUUAUUACUGUAUUUGGAAGUUGCUUAGAUACAUUUUUUGGUCUUACUGCCACUGGUUUGCACAGGUAA